UUAAGUAAAGGAAUUCGGCAAAUUAUUUUUUACCUGUUUAUUAAAAACAUGUCCUUUUGAUUAUAAUAUAAGGUCUGGCCUGCCCACUGAGUAUUUGAAUGGCCGUGGUAUUUUGACCGUGCUAAGGUAGCAUAAUCAUUAGUUUUUUAAUUAAAAACUGGAAUGAAGGGUUAGAUAAGAAAAUAACUGUCUCUAUUUAAAUUUAUUAGAAUUUUAUUUUUAAGUUAAAAAGCUUAAUUAUUAUUAAAAGACGAGAAGACCCUAUAGAGUUUAAUUAUAGAAUAUAUUUUUUAUUUUAGUAUUUAUUUAUUAAUUUUUUUUAUAAUUUAAUUGGGGUGAUUAAAAAAUUUAGUAAACUUUUUUUGUAUUUUAACAUUAAUUUAUGAGUUAUUGAUCCAAUAGUUUUGAUUAUAAGAUAAAAUUACCUUAGGGAUAACAGCGUAAUUUUUUUAGAAAGUUCAAAUUGAAAAAAAAGAUUGCGACCUCGAUGUUGGAUUAAAAUUAAUUUUUGGUGUAGAAGCUAAAAAAUUGGGUCUGUUCGACCUUUAAAAUUUUACAUGAUCUGAGUUUAAACCGGUGUGAGCCAGGUUGGUUUCUAUCUUUAAUUAGUUAAAAUAUUUUAGUACGAAAGGACCAAAUAUU
This 642-nucleotide ribosomal RNA is filed under the name Gonioctena intermedia. RNAcentral describes it as "16S ribosomal RNA". It matches the Rfam family "Bacterial large subunit ribosomal RNA", at positions 1700 to 2700 of the family's 2925-position model. The record is from RNAcentral. Lineage: Eukaryota; Metazoa; Arthropoda; Insecta; Coleoptera; Chrysomelidae.